AUGAAAUAGAAUUCCGAAAAUUGAACAUGAUGAAAAUUCCAAUACGAGAUGAUUUAAAAUGCUCUAUGUUUACUUGAUGCGAAGUAGUUUUCAUUGAACUGCUUGUAGAUCACAAUUUGUUUAGGUUCGUACACUUUUAAUGAAUUGACAUAUUCAAAAUCUGUAAGAAAAAACAAAAUUAGGAUAAAUCUAAUAUAAAGAGCACAUGUAAAUUAUACAAAUAUUAAUGAUUUUACGGGUUUAGAAAAAAUAAACAGUCAACUUGAUAAAAAAUUAUCAAAAAAUAAAUUACUUAGAGAGCUGNUGAUGCGAAGUAGUUUCAUUGAACUGCUUGUAGAUCACAAUUUGUUUAGGUUCGUACACUUUUAAUGAAUUGACAUAUUCAAAAUCUGAAAGAAAAAACAAAAUUAGAAUAAAUCUAAUAUAAGGAGCACAUGUAAAUUAUACAAAUAUUAAUAAUUUCACAAUGUUUAGAAAUUUACACAUUGAUUUUACGGUUUUAGAAAAAAUAAACAGUCAACUUGAUAAAAAAUUAUCAAAAAAUAAAUUACUUAGAGAGCUGUAGACGAUCUAUAAUUGCAUAAANUGACAUAUUCAAAAUCUGAAAGAAAAAACAAAAUUAGAAUAAAUCUAAUAUAAGGAGCACAUGUAAAUUAUACAAAUAUUAAUAAUUUCACAAUGUUUAGAUAUUUACACAUUGAUUUUACGGUUUUAGAAAAAAUAAACAGUCAACUUGAUAAAAAAUGAUCAAAAAAAAAAUUACUUAGAGAGCUUUAGACGGUCUAUAAUUGCAUAAUGAGCAAUUAGUUGAUAAAAAAUUGCAUAAAAAAUCUUCAAAUUGACAGGUUAUUUCCAGCAUAUGAAUUAUACACUACAGAGAUAACCCUUUAAUUUGAAGAUCANUACAGUCAACUUGAUAAAAAACUUAUCAAAAAAUAAAUUACUUAGAGUGCUGAAGACGGUCUAUAAUUGCAUAAAGUGCAAUUAUUUGAUAGAAGAUUGUAUAAAAUAUCCUCAAAUUGACAGGUUAUUUCCAGCAUUUGAUUUAUACCCGCCACAGAUAACCCUUCAAUUUGUAGAUCAAUUAAUCUAAUUGUACACAUGUUGUUCUUUUCAAAACAGAGGAUAUGUUGUUUCUUCCAUUAUCAUAUAGUCAUUACAUUAUAAAUUGCGUAAAUUGUGAUAUAAUUUAAUGCAUACCCGGAUUAGUGGUUACAAAACAACAGUUAUAGAUUGAGAUUAAAAGAAAAUCUUUAAAUUCAUAAAGCUAGUAAAUAUUAAAAACAUUUAUGGACCUAGGUAACAUUUCUAUUGUAGUAGUCAAACAUUAAAUUUACAGUGAUAAACAUUUACCUUAAUGUCAAUAUGGCUAUGUACAAUUAAGAAUGGUACAAAUUAUCAUUUGAGUGUUGGAUGCAUUGAAAUGAGAUCAUGAAAUCGAAAGGUUAUAACGAGCCUAAUGAAAUAUACUGGCUCGAUAUAACACUUCAAUUCCAACAUCUUUCAUUCUAUAAUGUUCAUAUAUCAUAGUCCUAAAUACAAAAAGGGGUCGAUUAUAUAAAUUCCAAACACUAUAUCUAACUUAAAUUCAAUUUUUUUUAUAUUAAAAUACAAUAAAAAANUGAGUGUUGGAUGCAUUGAAAGGAGAUCCUGAAAUCGAAAGGUUAUAACGAGCCUAAUGAAAUAUACUGGCUCGAUAUAACACUUCAAUUCUAACAUCUAUCAUUCUAUAAUGUUCAAAUAUCAUAGUCCUAAAUUCAACAAAGGGGUAGAUUAUACAAAUUCCAAACACUAUAUCUCACUAUAAUUCGAUACUUAAUUUAUUAAAUCACAAUAAACAGACAUAUUGAUAGCUUAUCAUUAAAUGUAUGUGAACCCUGAUAUUAAAAUGCUAAAACAACGCAUAAUUUUCAAUUUGUUCAAGUUAAACAAGUAAAUUAUUAUAAUCUAUUAUUGAUCUAAAAUGAUAAAGUCUAUUAUAAAGAAAAAGUUAAAUAUAUACUCAACAGGAUGAAAUAGAAUUCCGAAAAUUGAACAUGAUGAAAAUUCCAAAACGAGAUGAUUCAAAAUGCUCUAUGUUUACUUGAUGCGAAGUAGUUUCAUUGAACUGCUUGUAGAUCACAAUUUGUUUAGGUUCGUACACUUUUAAUGAAUUGACAUAUUCAAAAUCUGAAAGAAAAAACAAAAUUAGAAUAAAUCUAAUAUAAGGAGCACAUGUAAAUUAUACAAAUAUUAAUAAUUUCACAAUGUUUAGAAAUUUACACAUUGAUUUUACGGUUUUAGAAAAAAUAAACAGUCAACUUGAUAAAAAAUUAUCAAAAAAUAAAUUACUUAGAGAGCUGUAGACGAUCUUUAAUUGCAUAAAGAGCAAUUAGUUGAUAGAAAUUUGCAUACAAAAUCUUCAAAUUGACAGAUUAUUUCCUGCAUAUGAAUUAUACACUACAGAGAUAACCCUUUAAUUUGAAGAUCAAUUAUUUUAAUUGUACACAUGUUUUUCUUUUUAAAACAGAGGAUAUGUUGUUUCUUCCAUUAUCAUAUAGUCUUUACAUUAUAAAUUGGGUAAAUUGUGAUAAAAUUUAAUGCAUACCCGCAUAAGUGGUUAAAAAACAACAGUUAUAGAUUGAGAUUGAAAGAAACUCUUUAAAUUCAUAAAGCUAGUAAAUAUUAAAGACAAAAUUCUAAAACGAGAUGAUUCAAAAUGCUCUAUGUUUACUUGAUGCGAAGUAGUUUCAUUGAACUGCUUGUAGAUCACAAUUUGUUUAGGUUCGUACACUUUUAAUGAAUUGACAUAUUCAAAAUCUGAAAGAAAAAACAAAAUUAGAAUAAAUCUAAUAUAAGGAGCACAUGUAAAUUAUACAAAUAUUAAUAAUUUCACAAUGUUUAGAAAUUUACACAUUGAUUUUACGGUUUUAGAAAAAAAUAAACAGUCAACUUGAUAAAAAAUGAUCAAAAAAAAAAUUACUUAGAGAGCUUUAGACGGUCUAUAAUUGCAUAAAGAGCAAUUAGUUGAUAAAAAAUUGCAUAAAAAAUCUUCAAAUUGACAGGUUAUUUCCAGCAUAUGAAUUAUACACUACAGAGAUAACCCUUUAAUUUGAUGAUCAAUUAUUUUAAUUGUACACAUGUUGUUCUUUUCAAAACAGAGGAUAUGUUGUUUCUUCCAUUAUAAUAUAGUCUUUACAUUAUAAAUUGGGUAAAUUGUGAAAAAAUUUAAUGCAUACCCGCAUUAGUGGUUACAAAACAACAGUUAUAGAUUGAGAUUGAAAGAAAAUCUUUAAAUUCAUAAAGCUAGUAAAUAUUAAAGACAUUUAUGGACCUAGGUAACAUUUCUAUUGUAGUAGUCAAACAUUCAAUUUUCAGUGAUAAGCAUUUACCUUAAUGUCAAUAUAGCUAUGUACAAUUAAUUAUGGUACAAAUUAUCAUUUGAGUGUUGGAUGCAUUGAAAGGAGAUCCUGAAAUCGAAAGGUUAUAACGAGCCUAAUGAAAUAUACUGGCUCGAUAUAACACUUCAAUUCUAACAUCUAUCAUUCUAUAAUGUUCAAAUAUCAUAGUCCUAAAUUCAACAAAGGGGUAGAUUAUACAAAUUCCAAACACUAUAUCUCACUAUAAUUCGAUACUUAAUUUAUUCAAAUAUCAUAGUCCUAAAUUCAACAAAGGGGUAGAUUAUACAAAUUCCAAACACUAUAUCUCACUAUAAUUCGAUACUCAAUUUAUUAAAAUACAAUAAACAGACAUAUUGAUAGCUUAUCAUUAAAUGUAUGUGAACCCUGAUAUUAAAAUGCUAAAACAACGCAUAAUUUUCAAUUUGUUCAAGUUAAACAAGUAAAUUAUUAUAAUCUAUUAUUGAUCUAAAAUGAUAAAGUCUAUUAUAAAGAAAAGGAUGAAAUAAAAUUACUCAACAGGAUGAAAUAAAAUUCCUAAAAUUGAACAUGAUGAAAAUUCUAAAACGAGAUGAAUUCUAAAACGAGAUGAUUCAAAAUGCUCUAUGUUUACUUGAUGCGAAAUAGUUUCAUUGAACUGCUUGUAGAUCACAAUUUGUUUAGGUUCGUAAACUUUUAAUGAAUUUCGUNAACGCAUAAUUUUCAAUUUGUUCAAGUUAAACAAGUAAAUUAUUAUAAGCUAUUAUUGAUCUAAAAUGAUAAAGUCUAUUAUAAAGAAAAAGUUAAAUAUAUACUCAACAGGAUGAAAUAGAAUUCCGAAAAUUGAACAUGAUGAAAAUUCCAAAACGAGAUGAUUCAAAAUGCUCUAUGUUUACUUGAUGCGAAGUAGUUUCAUUGAACUGCUUGUAGAUCACAAUUUGUUUAGGUUCGUACACUUUUAAUGAAUAGACAUAUUCAAAAUCUGAAAGAAAAAACAAAAUUAGAAUAAAUCUAAUAUAAGGAGCACAUGUAAAUUAUACAAAUAU
Molecule: long non-coding RNA, 4402 nt
Filed under: Cinara cedri
Lineage: Eukaryota; Metazoa; Arthropoda; Insecta; Hemiptera; Aphididae
Source: RNAcentral